RNAcentral lists this long non-coding RNA (281 nucleotides) under Homo sapiens (human). RNAcentral describes it as "non-protein coding lnc-JAM3-3:13". The record is from RNAcentral. Lineage: Eukaryota; Metazoa; Chordata; Mammalia; Primates; Hominidae.
GAAAAAGUCUUUUUAUCUUGAAAGAUCUGGACUCCUUCUGCCUUCUGAGCAUCUGUAAGAUGGAGAUACUAAUAGGGCCUUCCCUAUAGAGAUAUUUUGAAGAUUAAAUGAGAGACCUCAUGGAAAGCUGUUAGCACAGAGCUGACUCCCUCUGAAUGAUGAUCAGUGAGGCCCUGCAAGACAGCCUCCCGAGGCCGAGCCACCGAGCUACAGGACGAAGAUGAUCUUUCUGGGCUCCUGAUGUCCAGACCCUGUCUUGUCUUUCAGCAUGUUCAGAAUAC